UAGCUUUUUCGAAGUUGUCGA
This 21-nucleotide non-coding RNA is filed under the name Caenorhabditis elegans. The record is from RNAcentral. Lineage: Eukaryota; Metazoa; Nematoda; Chromadorea; Rhabditida; Rhabditidae.